GAGGUUUUUGCUAUGCCUUCAGUUCUAUCACAGUCUAUUAGAGGUGCUUUUGUCUGACUCUCCCUCAGGAUAACAACAACAAGCCUUGGUCAUUCAGCAUGGUGCCUGACCUUCACCAAGUAUUGGGAGCCUCCAAUUCCUGCUGCUUCUAGUCUGCCAUCUUUGCCACGCCCCCAGAAAGUUCUGACUAUUCAAUUUCUACCAUACCAAAAUUAGACUCCUCCUCCCCCUAAGUAAAAGUGGGGCAAAAUGGGCACAUGGACAUGCUUUCCCACCUUCAGUGAAGGAAGGAUAUGUGUUUCAGGAAAUAGUACUACAGCAAUUCAACGUAGAAGAAGAGAAGAUGAGGAAGAAGAAGAGGAGGAAGAGGAAAAAGAAGAAGGAAGAGGAGGAGGAGGAGAA
This is a long non-coding RNA of Macaca mulatta (Rhesus monkey), 402 nucleotides long. RefSeq lists it as uncharacterized. The record is from RefSeq and is a predicted model, not a curated record. NCBI's taxonomy places the organism in Eukaryota, Metazoa, Chordata, Mammalia, Primates, Cercopithecidae.